CCUACGGGAGGCAGCAGUGGGGAAUAUUGCACAAUGGGGGAAACCCUGAUGCAGCGACGCCGCGUGAGUGAAGAAGUACUUCGGUAUGUAAAGCUCUAUCAGCGGGGAAGAAAAUGACGGUACCUGAGUAAGAAGCCCCGGCUAACUACGUGCCAGCAGCCGCGGUAAUACGUAGGGGGCAAGCGUUAUCCGGAUUUACUGGGUGUAAAGGGAGCGUAGACGGCAGUGCAAGUCUGGAGUGAAAGGCGGGGGCUCAACCCCCGGACUGCUCUGGAAACUGUAAGGCUGGAGUGCAGGAGAGGUAAGUGGAAUUCGUAGUGUAGCGGUGAAAUGCGUAGAUAUUAGGAGGAACACCAGUGGCGAAGGCGGCUUACUGGACUGUAACUGACGUUGAGGCUCGAAAGCGUGGGGAGCAAACAGGAUUAGGUACCCCUGUAGUC
This 440-nucleotide ribosomal RNA is filed under the name uncultured bacterium. Its description in RNAcentral is "partial 16S ribosomal RNA". It matches the Rfam family "Bacterial small subunit ribosomal RNA", at positions 338 to 795 of the family's 1533-position model. The record is from RNAcentral.